AUUGAACGCUGGCGGCAUGCCUUACACAUGCAAGUCGAACGGCAGCACGGGAGCUUGCUCCUGGUGGCGAGUGGCGAACGGGUGAGUAAUACAUCGGAACGUACCCAGUAGUGGGGGAUAACGCACCGAAAGGGGCGCUAAUACCGCAUACGACCUACGGGUGAAAGCGGGGGCGCGUAAGGCCACGCCCGAUGGGAGCGGCCGAUGUCUGAUUAGCUAGUUGGUGAGGUAAAGGCUCACCAAGGCUUCGAUCAGUAGCUGGUCUGAGAGGACGAUCAGCCACACUGGGACUGAGACACGGCCCAGACUCCUACGGGAGGCAGCAGUGGGGAAUUUUGGACAAUGGGCGAAAGCCUGAUCCAGCAAUGCCGCGUGUGCGAAGAAGGCCUUCGGGUUGUAAAGCACUUUUGUCAGGGAAGAAAUCUUUUAGGCUAAUACCCUGGAAGGAUGACGGUACCUGAAGAAUAAGCACCGGCUAACUACGUGCCAGCCGCCGCAGUAA
RNAcentral lists this ribosomal RNA (502 nucleotides) under uncultured bacterium. Its description in RNAcentral is "partial 16S ribosomal RNA". It matches the Rfam family "Bacterial small subunit ribosomal RNA", at positions 30 to 523 of the family's 1533-position model. The record is from RNAcentral.